UGGAACCUCGGAUCAGGUAGGAAUACCCGCUGAACUAAUGCUACGCUU
Molecule: ribosomal RNA, 48 nt
Filed under: Fusarium sacchari
Lineage: Eukaryota; Fungi; Ascomycota; Sordariomycetes; Hypocreales; Nectriaceae
Description: partial large subunit ribosomal RNA
Source: RNAcentral